RNAcentral lists this ribosomal RNA (652 nucleotides) under fungal sp. 04040603A. RNAcentral describes it as "eukaryotic LSU rRNA". The stretch from base 246 to 402 matches the Rfam family "5.8S ribosomal RNA". Lineage: Eukaryota; Fungi. The record is from RNAcentral.
UUAGAAGGCGUCUCCUUUUGACAAAACCCACCCCGUGUAUCUUCUGAGGGGGCCCUGUGAUAUUCCCCUCGCGGGGCAGGAGGGCCGUUCUACGAAUCCUCGGUCGGUGGCCUGCUGGGGAGGCCGGGGCCCGCUGGGCCUCUGCCAGCCGCCUGGGACUUGCGUCCCGGGGGUGCUGGCGCCGACCGCCAGGAUCCCUGUACCAAACUAUUGAGAUUUGAAAUAUGACAAAAUCAAACCAUUACAACCUGCAACGAUGGAUCUCUUGGCUCUGGCAUCGAUGAAGAACGCAGCGAAAUGCGAUACGUAAUGUGAAUUGCAGAUCUCUCAGUGAAUCAUCGAGUUUUUGAACGCACAUAGCGCCCGCCAGCAUUCUGGCGGGCAUGGCCUGUCCGAGCGUCGAUGACGCCUGCUCGAGCGCUGCCGCUCGGUGUUGGGGCGCUAGGGGCCUCGCCCCCUAGGCCCUCUAAGAAGAAGUGCGCGGUCCACGACGGGCCCCGGGUACAGUAAUUUAUUGCUGCCCUAGGGAGCCGCCGGGCGGGCUUGGCCGUAAAACCCCCGACAUAGGCCGAGCCCUGCUGCAGGGUGACCCCGCCAUAUGUUGACCUCGGAUCCAGGUAGGACGACCCGCUGAACUUAAGCAUAUCAAUAG